GGGGGUGUAGCUCAGUCUGGUUUAGAGCUGGAGCCUUUUAAGCUUCGAGUCGCGGGUUCGAAUCCCGCCGCCCCCACCA
This 79-nucleotide transfer RNA is filed under the name Actinomycetes bacterium. RNAcentral describes it as "Actinobacteria bacterium tRNA-Lys". It matches the Rfam family "tRNA". From Rfam's summary of the family: Transfer RNA (tRNA) molecules are approximately 80 nucleotides in length. Their secondary structure includes four short double-helical elements and three loops (D, anti-codon, and T loops). The record is from RNAcentral. Lineage: Bacteria; Bacillati; Actinomycetota; Actinomycetes. RNAcentral also lists the same sequence under 1 other name.